RNAcentral lists this ribosomal RNA (445 nucleotides) under uncultured bacterium. Its description in RNAcentral is "bacterial SSU rRNA". It matches the Rfam family "Bacterial small subunit ribosomal RNA", at positions 331 to 793 of the family's 1533-position model. The record is from RNAcentral.
CCAGACUCCUACGGGAGGCAGCAGUGGGGAAUAUUGCACAAUGGGGGAAACCCUGAUGCAGCGACGCCGCGUGAGUGAAGAAGUAAUUCGUUAUGUAAAGCUCUAUCAGCAGGGAAGAAAAUGACGGUACCUCUUGAAUAAGCCACGGCUAACUACGUGCCAGCAGCCGCGGUAAUACGUAGGUGGCAAGCGUUGUCCGGAUUUACUGGGUGUAAAGGGCGUGUAGCCGGGCCGGCAAGUCAGAUGUGAAAUCCCAAGGCUCAACCUUGGAACUGCAUUUGAAACUGUUGGUCUUGAGGAUCGGAGAGGCAGGCGGAAUUCCUAGUGUAGCGGUGAAAUGCGUAGAUAUUAGGAGGAACACCAGUGGCGAAGGCGGCCUGCUGGACGACAACUGACGGUGAGGCGCGAAAGCGUGGGGAGCAAACAGGAUUAGAUACCCCAGUAC